This 1590-nucleotide ribosomal RNA is filed under the name marine metagenome. RNAcentral describes it as "bacterial LSU rRNA". It matches the Rfam family "Bacterial large subunit ribosomal RNA", at positions 590 to 2170 of the family's 2925-position model. The record is from RNAcentral.
AUUGUGACAGCGUGCCUAUUGAAGAAUGAGCCGGCGAGUUAAUUUAUGUAGCAAGGUUAAGAUAUUAAGUAUUGGAGCCGAAGCGAAAGCGAGUCUGAAUAGGGCGUUUAGUUGCAUGGAUUAGACCCGAAACCGUGUGAGCUACCCAUGACCAGGGUGAAGCGAAAUUAACGUUUCGUGAAGGCCCGAACCCUUGUACGCUGCAAAGUGCUGGGAUGAGUUGUGGGUAGAGGAGAAAUUCCAAACGAACACGGAGAUAGCUGGUUCUCCCCGAAAUGUAUUUAGGUACAGCCUUAGGUAUUAACUGAUGGAGGUAGAGCACUGGAUGAGCUAGCGGGCGCAAGUUUAGCAAACUCAACCAAACUAAGAAUGCCAUCAGCCGAAUCCUAGGAGUGAGACAGUGACGGAUAAGCGCCAUUGUCGAAAGGGAAACAGCCCAGAUCGCAAGCUAAGGUCCCAAAGUUAUAGUUAAGUGGUAAAGGAGGUUGGAUCGCCCAGACAGCUAGUAGGUUGGCUUAGAAGCAGCCAUCCUUUAAAGAGUGCGUAAUAGCUCACUAGUCGAGGGGUUCUGCGCCGAAAAUUAUCGGGGCUAAACUAUACACCGAAGCUGCGGGAUUCUUUAUGAAUCGGUAGGGGAGCGUUCUCAAUGCACUGAAUCUGAAUUGUGAAAUUUGGUGGAGCGUUGAGAAGUGAGAAUGUCGGCAUGAGUAGCGACAAUCUUUGUGAGAAUCAAAGACACCGGAAGUCCGAGGUUUCCUACGCAACGUUGAUCGGCGUAGGGUUAGUCGGUCCUAAGGAGAAGCCGAAAGGUGAAUUCGAUGGACAGCUGGUCAAAAUUCCAGCACCGUAAUUAUCCUGUUAUGCAACGAAGGGACGCGAUAAGGACUGUUAAGCAUGCCUAUGGACAUGGUGUGUGGGACUUUGUAGGGAAGUGAUUGUGGUUAAAAGAACAGUUACGUUAUUAACUGAGAAAGUUUCAGACCUUAAGGCUUCGGCCUUAGGGAAUUUAACACGAACUAUGUCGCCAAGAAAAGCUUCGUUGAUAGGGAUAUUAUGACCGUACCGAAAACCGACACAGGUGGACAGGGGUAAAAGCCCCAAGGUGAACGAGAAAACCAUCCUCAAGGAACUCGGCAAAUUAACCCCGUAACUUCGGAAUAAGGGGAGCCUAAAAUAUAUAGACUUCGCGUUGAAAGUAUUUUAGGCCGCAGAGAAUUGGUCUGAGCGACUGUUUAUCAAAAACACAGGUCCGUGCUAAAGCGAAAGCUGAUGUAUACGGGCUGACGCCUGCCCAGUGCCGGUAGGUUAAAGUGAAGAGUGAGAGCUUUGAUCUGAAGCCCCGGUGAACGGCGGCCGUAACUAUAACGGUCCUAAGGUAGCGAAAUCCCUUGUCGGGUAAGUUCCGACCUGCACGAAAGGCGUAACGACUUGGACACUGUCUCGAGGGUGGACUCGGUGAAAUUGCAUGACCCGUAAAGAUGCGGGUUACGCGCAGCAGGACAAAAAGACCCCGUGGAGCUUUACUGUAGCUUGGCAUUGAAUUGUGAUUAAUGAUGUGUAGGAUAGGCGGGAGACUAUGAAUUUUGAGCG